Molecule: ribosomal RNA, 22 nt
Filed under: Ulva intestinalis (hollow green seaweed)
Lineage: Eukaryota; Viridiplantae; Chlorophyta; Ulvophyceae; Ulvales; Ulvaceae
Description: partial 5.8S ribosomal RNA
Source: RNAcentral
CAUAUUCGCCUCAGCGUCGGGA